GAAUAUUGGUCAAUGGGCGAAAGCCUGAUCCAGCCAUGCCGCGUGAGUGAAGACGGCCUUAGGGUUGUAAAGCUCUUUCGGCGGGGACGAUAAUGACGGUACCCGCCGAAGAAGCCCCGGCUAACUCCCUGCCAGCAGCCGCGGUAAUACGGAGGGGGCUAGCGUUGUGCGGAAUUACUGGGCGUAAAGCGCACGUAGGCGGGCUGUUAAGUCGGGGGUGAAAUCCUGGGGCUCAACCUCAGAAUUGCCUUCGAUACUGACAGUCUUGAGUACGAGAGAGGUGAGUGGAAUUCCCAGUGUAGAGGUGAAAUUCGUAGAUAUUGGGAAGAACACCAGUGGCGAAGGCGGCUCACUGGCUCGUAACUGACGCUGAGGUGCGAAAGCGUGGGGAGCAAACAGG
RNAcentral lists this ribosomal RNA (400 nucleotides) under uncultured bacterium. Its description in RNAcentral is "bacterial SSU rRNA". It matches the Rfam family "Bacterial small subunit ribosomal RNA", at positions 359 to 776 of the family's 1533-position model. The record is from RNAcentral.